Molecule: long non-coding RNA, 3529 nt
Organism: Ictalurus furcatus (blue catfish)
Lineage: Eukaryota; Metazoa; Chordata; Actinopteri; Siluriformes; Ictaluridae
Exons: 3
Source: RefSeq, a predicted model, not a curated record
UGCCGCAACUAACAUUCCACUUUUGACAACAAACCAGUUUUCUAGCUGCUAAAAUUAAACAUUCUGGAGAGAGAUGAUCUUAUAUAAAAUUCACCAGUGUAUAUAUGCAUCAUAUCCUAUGAGAUGAAUGAGGAACAGUGUGUGGUAUCUGCCAUUGUGACCACCUAUAUGUGGCAAAAGCGCAAGCGGCAAUUAGCUUAGCUUAGCUUAGUGCGUUUAAAACGAAAUAAUAAUAAUGAAACACUCACUUUUUGUGAGCUCCUAUCUCAGUAAGCGUCACCAUCAGUAGCUGCGUUUACAUGGACAACAAUAAUCCAAUCUUAACCCGAUUAAGACCAUACUUUGAUUAAGAAACUACCAUGUAAACAGCAAUUUUUUCUUACCUUAAUCUAAUAAAAGUCAUACUCGAAUUAAGCUCUAAUCGAAUUAAGACAUGUGGAGUACUCCUGUUUUAGUCGCAUUAUGGACAUGUAUUACAGACAUGUGAACACCUUAAUCACAUUAUGAACGUCGUGUAAGAGUUUUCACCGCAUUUUGCUACAGGACACAAUCACACACGGCAGUUAUCAACAUUUUACGGCGAACAAGAGAGUUCGGCUGUGUCUGAAACCGCAUACUUGCCUACUACAGGCCUGUAGUGGGGAAAAAUACAUGUAUCUCGGCUACUAUAUAGACGGUAAGUACGCGGUUUGAGACGCAGCCCACGGCUUCAAGCAGUUGUCUAUUAGCACGUAUAGCAUGACAAAUAAUUAACUGCACCUAAAGCAUUCGUAAAAAAAUUAAAUAAAAACACCCAAAACUGUAUACGGUACCAUAACGAAGACAAACUAUAUGUUGAUACGUGAAAUUCUGGAGGGACGUCGGACGGCGUGGCGCGGUGACGUAAUGACGCGGGCUUUUAAUCUAAUUAUGAUCUAUAACAUGUAAAACGGGAAUAUGACAGGAGUAUUCUAAAAGCGACUCAUGUAAACACCUUAAUCACAUUAUUAUCUUAAUCACAGUAAGGUCAAUAAUUAGAUUACUGCUGUCCAUGUAAACGUAGUCACUGUGUCAUUGGCUAUAUGUUUGAUAGCGACCGGGAGCCGGAUUGCAGCUCUUCGGUCAUGGUCUCUGUGUUUCCAAGGUGAAGUGUCCGGCUUGGUGCUGCACGUUCCCAGGUGCUAAAGCAGCACAAGCCGGACAUAUCACCCAAGAUAGGAGCUACACUGGGAUUUUGCUCGAUUGCAACAAAAAAGGCUAUAUGAUGUUGAUACCCAUCUUUUCACACUGAGGACAACUGAGGGACUUGUACACAACUAUUACAUAAGGUUCAAACAUUCACUGAUGCUCAAGAAGGCAACACAAAACAUUAAGAGCCAGGGGGAUGUAAACAUUUUAACAGGAUAAUCAGUGUAAAAAAAUAUGUAGAAGAUGGUGGAAAAGUAAAGAGUGUGCAGGACCUGGAGGAUUUUUCUGAAGAACAGUGGGCAGUUUAACUGCUCAGGACAAACAAGGGACUCAUGAACAACUAUCACAAAACAAACACAGUCGUUGAUCAUCCAGGUAAUGACACACGGGAUUAAGAAUCAAGGUUUCCCCCAUUCUUCUUUGCAGGACCUCUCAAGCUCCAUCAGGUUGGAUAGGGAGCGUCGGUGCACAGACAUUUUCAGAUCUCUCCAGAGAUGUUUAAUCAGGUUCAAGUCUGGGCUCUGGCUGGGCCACUCAAGGACAUUCACAGAGUUGUCCUGUAGCCACUCCUUUGUUAUCUUGGCUGUGUGCUUAGGGUCGUUGUCCUGUUGGAAGAUGAACCUUCACCCCAGUCUGAGGUCCAGAGUGCUCUGGAGCAGGUUUUCAUCAAGGAUGUCUCUGUACAUUGCUGCAUUCAUCUUUCCCUCGAUCCUGACUAGUCUCCCAAUUCCUGCCACUGAAAAACAUCCCCACAGCAUGAUGCUGCCACCACCAUGCUUCACUGUAGGGAUGGUAUUGGCCAGGCGAUGACUGGUGCCUGGUUUCCUCCAGACAUGACACUUGCCAUUCAGGCCAAAGAGUUCAAUCUUUGUUUCAUCAUGGUCUGAGAGUCCUUCAGGUGCCUUUUGGCAAACUCCAGGCAGGCGAUCAUGUGCCUUUUACUGAGGAAUGGCUUCCGUCUGGUCACUAUACCAUACAGGCCUCACAUGCAUUGUUAACUGUGGGACCUUAUAUAGACAGGUGUGUGCCUUUCCAAAUCAUGUCCAAUCAACUGAAUUUACCACAGGUGGACUCCAAUCAAGUUGUAGAAACAUCUCAAGGGUGAUCAGUGGAAACAGGAUGCACCUGAGCGCAAUUUUGAGUGUCAUGGCAAAGGGUGUGAAUACUUAUGUACAUGUGCUUUUUUUGUUUUUUAUUUUUAAUAAAUUUGCACAGAUUUCAAACAAACUUCUUUCACGUUGUCUUUAUGGGGUAUUGUUUGUAGAAUUUUGAGGAAAAUAAUGAAUUUAAUCCAUAUUGGAAUAAGGCUGUAACAUAACAAAAUGUGGAAAAUGAGAAGCGCUGUGAAUACUUUCCGGAUGCACUGUAUAUAUGUAUAUAUAUUGUAUUAGCUGUUAAUUUUGUAUCUGUUUGCACCUCUUCCAGUAAAUAAUAUAUAUAGAAAAUAUGACAAAUAUUUUAAAGGCCUAGAUGUUAUCAGUUGGUGCCCCCCAUUGGCUGGUGCCCCAGGGCACUCUCCCAAUCCUAUAUAUGGAUAAUCCAGCCUUGAACAUACACACAUGUAAAGCACUGCUUAAGAUAGAUUGCACAUAGACAGCAAAACUAGAAAGCAGAACACACUUGGACAUAGACGAGGAAGUGAAAAACAGAUCAGCGGAUGUAAGUAUGUUUAGGCAGAUGUGACUGUACUGGCCGCACUGCAGUAUAUAAUGUUAUUUAAGUUAUUCCCUUUUUGUCUCAGAAACCUAACAAGUAAAACAACCUUGAGGUUUUUGAGUGUUUUUGAUUUCUGCAUCUAAGUGUAAUGUAAUGAAACAAUACGUAGUGCCUACCAAGACACCUCUUCACCCCAAUCUCCAAAGCAAUUAUAUCUAAUUAAAACCAUUCAAAUGUUAACAGGGAAAAGAGCAAACUAACUAAAAGUUACAACUUUAGCUCCUGAAUGCAGGGGCUUGACAAAGCAGUUGUGGAGAGACUUUUUUUUCUAACUGGAGGAGAGGCUGUCGUGGGAAGGUUCUUCAUUAAGCAGCACAGGACUAAAGAGGUUCUUCAUUAGCAGUGUUAGUAGCUAACGAUCACAUAGGAGGGAGGCAGGUUUAUCACCCCAACCAGAGUGCAGUUGCCCCACAGCUACAUGUAAGUGAUGAAAAACAUUUUCCUGAUUUCUGAAUUAUGUAAAGGGAUGGAACCAAAUGCAAUUUUUUUUUUUUGGAUUGAACAGAAAAUGUGUUCUGAACAAAUACAAAUACAACUUUUUUUAAAUCAUUAGUUUGCUACAUAUUUCUAUACAAACACAUCCAAAAUUCAGAAGAGAUAUAUGAUUUUAUUUAUAGACCCUCAACUCCAUAUCGCCUCUAUUUUG